AUGGCCGCUGGUCCCACGUGCAAGGGACUCUCUAUUGUUCUCUGCGUUAUGCCGGGGUUGGAGAGAAUUGUGGCUGACUUCUGCGCGUGUCGUGCUAAGGCUGACCUCUACAUAGUGCCGGGUCCGCCCACUCACGGGUCUUUUCUCCGGGUCGUCCGGUGCGCUCGCCUUUUUUCCGGGUCGUCCGGUGCCUUUAGUUUAGCGCUACACAAGGCCACUGACGCUGGGGCCGUGUGGAGGGGCGGGGCCGGUGGUCAGUUGCUUUGUGUUCCCUCGCUACUGGGUUCGCGUGGCCGAUGCACACGGCUGGCAACUGGACGUGCGAGCGCCGCGCGUUGGGUCCCUCGUGCGAGGCGUGCGUCGUCUCAGUGCACGUCGCCCCCUGCGCUGGUGGCAAACCCUCCCCCAAUCACCAAAGCCGCCGCACGCCUCCCUCCUUCCUCCUCGCCCGCACCCCUGCCGCGGCGCCCAUCCCUCCCAGCCCUCCCAUCUUCGCGUUUCUCCUCCUCCCAGAACUACCUCCCGUCGCUUAGGCUCCAUGGCGGCGGCCGGCUCGAGGCGAGCCUGGCGCAGGCGGGCGGAAGCAGCGGGGAGCAACGGAUGCGGGUGGGAGAGUGCCGGACGGCGCCGUCAUUGUUCAUUGUCGCCCCGCUAAGCCGCAUCGAAGAAGGACCAGGACCUCACCCCUCAACCCUCGUCCCUCUUCCCUUCUGGAUGCACCUCCCCGCAUGAGUUCCUCCUGCCUAAUUCGGCUCCCCUUUCCAUCUAAUUUCAUUCUUGUUUCACAUGUUGGUUUGGUCGGUAAGAGACGUUGCGCCGCCGACUGCAGUAGCCAGGAUUGGUGUUGGUGAUGUCUGUACGUACCAGUUACACAAUUCCAGGUUUGGUCAAUGUCUCUGGAGCUAUGGUAUUAUCCUUUGAUUUCUCCUAUAUUUUCCUUCCUGAUUUUGUUUGAUGAUUUGCUAGGUUAUGGGAUUGGAUCUCCAUUUUCCAAGAUUCUUAGCUGAUAAGUAUAUUGUGCGGCAAAAUCUCUAGGCCAGCGCUAGGCGCCGGUGCGCCGGCCCAAAUUUGGGCCGGUCGCGCCCUAGCCAUCCGAUCCAAUUCAUCUAGGCCAUCAGUUCCUUAUCCAAAAAGCUGCUUCAUCCCUUCCCCCCUCGUGUGUCUCUCCUCUGUGUUGUCUUCCUCACCUCGCCACGCAGCUCCACCCCGUUCCCAGACAGCCGUUGCCUCCGCCCCCGCCGGCUUGCCUCGCCGUCGACAUGCGCCGCCGUCACCGGUCGCCUUUUUUACCCGCUCUGCUGCACGCCGGCAGCACCUCCCCUACACUUCUCCCUCGCCCUUUGUGGUCAUGGGUUGCCGUCGUUGGCCGCGGCAGCUCUGCUCGCCGGCAAUAGUACGACGCUUCCUCGUCCCUCGCUGGUUCCAGCAAAACAAGUAAGUGGUUGGAACAUUGUGCCCCUACCGGUGCCGCCCCAGCAUGGAUGGAACGAUGGAGACGACGAAGUAACUCGCAAAAAUCACAAUAUGUGGUUCCAGCAAAAAAUUGUGCUGGUUGUAGCAUCUCAUGUCGCUGGUUGAAGCUCGCCGCGCACCAUUAGUAGCCUCGAUCUUCUCUGGUUCCAGCAAAAAUGGACUAUGUUUGUAACAAAUGGUGUUGCCGAUUGCAGCUCCGCAUCACGGUGGUCGUAGCAUUUCGCCGCAUGUAGCAGCUCCGCCGUUGCCUGACGCAACCCCGUCGCUUUCUCUGGUUCCAGCAAAAAUGGUCAACGGUUGUAACAAAUGUUGUUGCAGGUUGCAGCUCCGCAGUACGUCGGUCGUACGUCGUCGCCUGACACAACCCCGCCGCUUUCUCUGGUUCCAGCAAACAAAGUCGCCGGAUGUAGCUUUUUGAGCUGCUGGUUGCAGCUCGAUUGCACGCAGUAGCAGCUUCCCAGCAUCUCUGAUGGUGGUUCGAGCAAAAAAUAAAUUGGUUGUAGCAUCUGUGGGGCUGGUAGCAUGCGUCCCCUACGGUCCGCAAACAUUGGUUGGCUUUCGUCUACGGCGACACCUCGGCCGCCUGGUUGCAACAUAGAGGGCCACCCAUCUCUUGUCCCAUGGCUGGAGAGGGGAAAAAGCCGAGGAGGAAGUGUGGGGGUGGCCGCCAGUUCGCUGGAGUAGGACAAAUAGAUGACGGCCUCGGUUUCACGCCCGGUGGUGCAGGGCGGUGGCCGGAGACCGAUGCUCUCACAACAACUUCCGCUCGCGGGAUGGAGGGGAUGGGUUAUGGUCGUGAGCGGGAGAUGCAGUUUGCAUCGCGACGGGAUCUGAAGAAAAGAGACGAGUGGAAGACAACACACAAGGGCUGUAGGAUUGCCUUCGAUCCAACGAAGCGCGCGCGUCCGGCGCAACGCUUCGACCGGCGCACCGGCAGCAAACGUUUCCCAAAUCUCUAUGUACUGAUGUUGUGCACAUCCAAAUACAAGCAAUCGGCGAAGAUUUCAUCCUCAACCUCCCUCACGACCCCAGAUUGGGGACAUGGCAUGAAGAUAUGGUUUUGUGAUCUAUGGUCUUGGGUCAUCCGUUGGAUGGGUGAUAAUGGAAAUUUUCUUGAGGACAGACACGUGCAAGUUUUGUGAGAGUUAAACCUGUUUUAUGAGAGUUAAACCUGUUUUAUGAGAGUUAAAGCUAUUUUUUGAGAGUUAAACAUGUGCAUACGAAUGGAUUUUUUUUAGAACUGGUCAAACUAUUUUUUUGUAAGAGUUAAAGCUGUUUUCUUGAGGACAAACCCGUGAAUAAGUCUCAUCUGUAUAGAUUAAUUAAUAUAAUAGGACAACAAUUUAAGUUUAUUGAAGCUCUUUCUAAGAAGCGGGGGUCUGCUUUGGUUUCUUGUUGUUUGCCUAUUCUCUUAAAAACAGUUGACUGGAUGCAGCUGACGGGUUAUACAUCAAUAAUUUGGGCAGUUGGAUAUGGCAUUUACAAGUAAAGGAUUUCAGAAAUCUAAUAUGGCAUGCCUAUUUUUCAUGGAAAAACGAAUGGUACCUUAUUUACUAUUUAGUUUUUAAGCUAGACUAAUUUGACUACACGCUUCCUGAGGUGCCUUCUGUUUUUGAAUAGUCAUAGAAUUCUCCUGAUUACGAGAUGUUCCUUUGUCACUAUUUGAAUUUCUGCCUUGAGUGGCCUCUGUCUUGGUUUACAGCUCCAUAUGGCUACUUAUGUAUAACAUAAGGAGGUCCUGUUUGAACUGUUCUCAAAUAUGUUUACUACAGCAAAGUGGAAUAUGCAAAGUUUCUGUGUUGAUUAGGCAAAUACUUGCUUUGCCUUAAAUACUGUCCCCAUCUAUGUUCCAGGUUUUUUGGGUAUGAAUUAUUUCCCUGGAAUGGAUCAACACAUUUGCAUGGGAUUUUAGAAAAAUAUAUGUGAAUGCAUCUUUCUAAUAAAAGCAUUGCUUAAGAAAUACCCUUUUCUGAAAUCAAAAUUGUUGUUGGUCUUCUGAUCACUUUCAUUGUCUAUCAGAUAGGCUAUGGCUUCCAUAAGCUAGCAUCAUUAGGGUCAGGUCGUUGUGUUUAGUUUAUUUUCAGUGCCUUGCAAGUUAGUGGUUCCCAGAAGAUUGUAGCCUACCUUAUUAGCGUCGACUGGCAUAUUUAUCUUUCAAUGUCAUUGCUUAACCAUGCCUGGCUGACUGCUAUAUUUAUAUAUGCACAAAGUGCUUAUUCCUUUGGUGCUUCCAGAUUGUCAAGGUAUGAGCAGAGCAGCGAGGGAUGAGAAAUGGGGUAACUUAUCGUAGACAUACAGAAAUGAAAAUAAAGCUAUGCACAGAGAAAAGUACUAUGAUCCAUCCAUCAUUGUUGGUUCACCAUUCUAAAGGAAAUAGACAAAGUGGUGCAUCUAGGAGGAAGGGAUCUAGAGACGACGAUGGACAAAACAAUCCUGCAGAGGCAGCAAGAGGCAGUUCUCGACAAAUCACUAUAAGCGCAAGGAUCCAAUGGAAGAAUUUGGUGAAGAACAAGGUCUCCAUCAUUUGGCGUCAAGGAAAGGAAGACCAUGUCAUCAUUUGGCCAGUGCAGGUCCCCAUGCCCCUGUAUCUGCCCUCGAAGCCGGGUUCCGCGAGCUAAGGUUGCAGGGGAGAAUGAACGUGCAAGUUUCCAGCAGCAAAGUUUUUUCUACAUUUGAUGGGUAGCUAAAUUAGUUUGAUUUCACGGAUGAUGGAGCCUUGCUGUGUGACGUAGUUCCUGGUGAAGAAAUAUUUGUUAGGUCUAUGUAUGUGUGUACUGGAGUUGGUGCAUCUCCAAGGAAGAACCAAACCCUUAUUCCUAUCUUACAAUAUUUUACACUUAAAUGCAAAUGCAAAGUGUUAGCUAUGUUAACUGUUGUUUCAAUCCCUUGUUUGAAAAUGUGAUUGAUUACAAAUUGUGCAUGCUCAAGUAUAUAUUUGUAAAAAGA
RNAcentral lists this ribosomal RNA (4419 nucleotides) under Triticum aestivum (bread wheat). RNAcentral's name for it is "partial small subunit ribosomal RNA". Lineage: Eukaryota; Viridiplantae; Streptophyta; Magnoliopsida; Poales; Poaceae. The record is from RNAcentral.